AGCGUAGGCGGAUUUUUAAGUGAGAUGUGAAAUACUCAGGCUUAACCUGAGUGCUGCAUUUCAAACUGGAAGUCUAGAGUGCAGGAGAGGAGAAGGGAAUUCCUAGUGUAGCGGUGAAAUGCGUAGAGAUUAGGAAGAACACCAGUGGCGAAGGCGCUUCUCUGGACUGUAACUGACGCUGAGGCUCGAAAGCGUGGGGAGCAAACA
Molecule: ribosomal RNA, 207 nt
Filed under: uncultured bacterium
Lineage: Bacteria
Description: partial 16S ribosomal RNA
Rfam family: Bacterial small subunit ribosomal RNA
Source: RNAcentral